Molecule: ribosomal RNA, 252 nt
Filed under: uncultured bacterium
Lineage: Bacteria
Description: partial 16S ribosomal RNA
Rfam family: Bacterial small subunit ribosomal RNA
Source: RNAcentral
UACGUAGGGUGCAAGCGUUGUCGGAAUUAUUGGGCGUAAAGAGCUCGUAGGCGGUCAGUCGCGUCUGCUGUGAAAACUCGGGGCUUAAUUCCGGGCCUGCAGUGGGUACGGGCUGACUAGAGUGCGGUAGGGGAGACUGGAAUUCCUGGUGUAGCGGUGAAAUGCGCAGAUAUCAGGAGGAACACCGGUGGCGAAGGCGGGUCUCUGGGCCGUAACUGACGCUGAGGAGCGAAAGCGUGGGGAGCGAACAGG